This 468-nucleotide ribosomal RNA is filed under the name uncultured bacterium. RNAcentral's name for it is "partial 16S ribosomal RNA". It matches the Rfam family "Bacterial small subunit ribosomal RNA", at positions 28 to 507 of the family's 1533-position model. The record is from RNAcentral.
GACGAACGCUGGCGGCGUGCUUAACACAUGCAAGUCGAACGGAAAGGCCCUGCUUUUGUGGGUCUCUCGAGUGGCGAACGGGUGAGUAACACGUGAGUAACCUGCCCUUGUCUUUGGGAUAACUUCAGGAAACUGGGGCUAAUACCGGAUAUGAGCUCCUGCUGCACGGUGGGGGUUGGAAAGUUUCGGCGGUUGGGGAUGGACUCGCAGCUUAUCGGCUUGUUGGUGUGGUAGUGGCUUACCAAGGCUGUGACGGGUAGCCGGCCUGAGAGGGUGACCGGCGACAAUAGGACUGAGAUACGGAGCAGUAUGGUACCGGACGCAGCAGUGGGGAGUCUUGCACAAUGGGCGGAAGCCAGAUGCAGCGACGCCGCGUGCGGGAUAACGGCCUACGAGUUGUAAACCGCUUUCGCCUGUGACGAAGAGUGAGUGACGGUAAUGGGUAAAGAAGCAACGGCUAACUACGUG